Molecule: ribosomal RNA, 406 nt
Filed under: uncultured bacterium
Lineage: Bacteria
Description: bacterial SSU rRNA
Rfam family: Bacterial small subunit ribosomal RNA
Source: RNAcentral
GGGCCCGCACAAGCGGUGGAGCAUGUGGUUUAAUUCGACGCAACGCGAAGAACCUUACCUGGUCUUGACAUCCUACGAACUUUCCAGAAAUGGAUUGGUGCCUUCGGGAACCGGGUGACAGGUGCUGCAUGGCUGUCGUCAGCUCGUGUCGUGAGAUGUUGGGUUAAGUCCCGUAACGAGCGCAACCCUUGUCCUUAGUUGCCAGCACGUAAUGGUGGGAACUCAUGGGAUACUGCCGGGGUCAACUCGGAGGAAGGUGGGGAUGACGUCAAAUCAUCAUGCCCCUUAUGUCUUGGGCUUCACGCAUGCUACAAUGGCCGGUACAGAGGGCUGCAAUACCGCAAGGUGGAGCGAAUCCCAAAAAGCCGGUCUCAGUUCGGAUUGAGGUCUGCAACUCGACCUCAUG